This 405-nucleotide ribosomal RNA is filed under the name uncultured bacterium. RNAcentral's name for it is "partial 16S ribosomal RNA". It matches the Rfam family "Bacterial small subunit ribosomal RNA", at positions 355 to 774 of the family's 1533-position model. The record is from RNAcentral.
GGGGGAAUAUUGGGCAAUGGGGGAAACCCUGACCCAGCAAUGCCGCGUGAAGGAAGAAGGCCUUCGGGUUGUAAACUUCUGUGACGAGGGAAGAAGAAAGUGACGGUACCUCGAGAGGAAGCUCCGGCAAACUACGUGCCAGCAGCCGCGGUAAUACGUAGGGAGCGAGCGUUGUCCGGAAUAACUGGGCGUAAAGGGCGCGUAGGCGGUUUUUCAAGUCCUAUGUGAAAGCCCCGGGCUUAACCUGGGGAGUGCAUAGGAAACUGAGAGACUUGAGUGUGGUAGAGGAUUGUGGAAUUCCUAGUGUAGCGGUGAAAUGCGUAGAUAUUAGGAGGAACACCAGUGGCGAAGGCGACGAUCUGGGCCACAACUGACGCUGAGGCGCGAAAGCGUGGGGAGCAAACA